GGCACUUACAUGUGUUUUUGUCUUACCUUUUGUGGACUAAAACUUAAAAGAACAGGUGCAAAAAAUAAAUCCUCUUUUGCAACCCAGAACUCAUUGUUUGGUAUGAGUUUUGAUACAUUAAAGAAGGAAUAUU
Molecule: small nucleolar RNA, 133 nt
Organism: Octodon degus (degu)
Lineage: Eukaryota; Metazoa; Chordata; Mammalia; Rodentia; Octodontidae
Source: Ensembl